This 207-nucleotide ribosomal RNA is filed under the name uncultured bacterium. RNAcentral describes it as "partial 16S ribosomal RNA". It matches the Rfam family "Bacterial small subunit ribosomal RNA", at positions 568 to 774 of the family's 1533-position model. The record is from RNAcentral.
CGCGUAGGCGGCCUGUUAAGUCUGGAGUGAAAGUCCCGCUUUCAAGGUGGGAAUUGCUUUGGAUACUGAUGGGCUUGAGUGCAGGAGAGGAAAGCGGAAUUACCGGUGUAGCGGUGAAAUGCGUAGAGAUCGGUAGGAACACCAGUGGCGAAGGCGGCUUUCUGGACUGAAACUGACGCUGAGGCGCGAAAGCGUGGGGAGCAAACA